RNAcentral lists this ribosomal RNA (250 nucleotides) under uncultured bacterium. RNAcentral describes it as "partial 16S ribosomal RNA". It matches the Rfam family "Bacterial small subunit ribosomal RNA", at positions 524 to 773 of the family's 1533-position model. The record is from RNAcentral.
UACGAAGGGUGCAAGCGUUAUUCGGAUUAAUUGGGCGUAAAGGGUGCGUAGACGGUAUGCUAAGUCCGCUGUUAAAUUCCCCAGCUCAACUGGGGGCCAGCAGUGGAUACUGACGUACUAGAGGAUGGAAGAGAGAAGUGGAAUUCCCGGAGUAGCGGUAAAAUGCGUAGAUCUCGGGAGGAACACCAAUGGCGAAGGCAGCUUCUUGGUCCAUAUCUGACGUUGAGGCACGAAAGCGUGGGGAGCAAAC